This 221-nucleotide ribosomal RNA is filed under the name Shewanella xiamenensis. Its description in RNAcentral is "partial 16S ribosomal RNA". It matches the Rfam family "Bacterial small subunit ribosomal RNA", at positions 1315 to 1533 of the family's 1533-position model. The record is from RNAcentral. Lineage: Bacteria; Pseudomonadati; Pseudomonadota; Gammaproteobacteria; Alteromonadales; Shewanellaceae.
ACUCCAUGAAGUCGGAAUCGCUAGUAAUCGUGGAUCAGAAUGCCACGGUGAAUACGUUCCCGGGCCUUGUACACACCGCCCGUCACACCAUGGGAGUGGGCUGCAAAAGAAGUGGGUAGCUUAACCUUCGGGGGGGCGCUCACCACUUUGUGGUUCAUGACGCAAUGAUGUCUGUCGUUGUGUUAAUACGAAAAAAAUUGAGUUCUUAAAACACUUGUUAA